Molecule: ribosomal RNA, 253 nt
Filed under: uncultured bacterium
Lineage: Bacteria
Description: partial 16S ribosomal RNA
Rfam family: Bacterial small subunit ribosomal RNA
Source: RNAcentral
UACGUAGGGGGCAAGCGUUGUCCGGAAUCAUUGGGCGUAAAGAGCGUGUAGGCGGCUCGGUAAGUCCGCUGUGAAAGUCCAGGGCUCAACCCUGGAAUGCCGGUGGAAACUGUCGAGCUAGAGGGUGGUAGAGGCGAGUGGAAUUCCCGGUGUAGCGGUGAAAUGCGCAGAUAUCGGGAGGAACACCAGUAGCGAAGGCGGCUCGCUGGGCCAUUCCUGACGCUGAGACGCGAAAGCUAGGGGAGCGAACAGG